RNAcentral lists this ribosomal RNA (607 nucleotides) under uncultured eukaryote. Its description in RNAcentral is "bacterial SSU rRNA". It matches the Rfam family "Eukaryotic small subunit ribosomal RNA", at positions 7 to 563 of the family's 1831-position model. The record is from RNAcentral.
GUUGAUCCUGCCAGCAGUCAUAUGCUUGUCUUAAAGAUUAAGCCAUGCACGUCUAAGGAUAAAUAUUUUUAACCGUAAACCUGCGGAUGGCUCAUUAAAUCAGUUACAAUCUACUUCAUUGUAUAAAUUACUUGGAUAACCGUAGUAAUUCUAGAGCUAAUACAUGCAAAAAAUUUGAACUCGCAAGGGAACAAAUGUACUUAUUAGAAUCCAAAAUCAAUACAGGUCAUUCCAAACUCUAGAUUAUACCUUCACGGGUAUUUUUUAGGGGACUUGUAGAAAACAAUUGAAGAAUCAUAGUAAACUUACGAAUCAUAAAUUUAAUUAUUUAUUGAUGAUAGGAACGAGUUUCUGACCUAUUAACUUUCGAUGGUAAUUUAGUGGAUUACCAUGGUUUUCAUGGGUAACGGAGAAUUUGGAUUUGAUUCCGGAGAAAAGGCCUGAGAGACGGCCAUUACUUCCAAGGAAGGCAGCAGGCGCGUAAAUUACCCAAUCCCAAUUCGGGGAGGUAGUGACGAGAAAUACUAGUAUUGGUCCCAAUGGGAACAAUGAUUGGAAUGAGAACAAUUUAAAAACAUUAACGACUAACAAUUGGAGGGCAAGUCUG